This 210-nucleotide unclassified non-coding RNA is filed under the name plant metagenome. RNAcentral describes it as "partial contains small subunit ribosomal RNA, internal transcribed spacer 1, and 5.8S ribosomal RNA". The record is from RNAcentral.
UUUCCGUAGGUGAACCUGCGGAAGGAUCAUUAGUGAAUUUUGAGCACUGAAGCACUGCAGGCUCGUCCUCCACUCUCCACUCUGUGCAUCAUUAACCUGGGACGACGGCUUUCGAGCUAGAGACCCAGGUAUACCUUUACAAACAUGAGUUAACGAACGUAAACAAAACCAUAACAAAAAAAACUUUCAACAACGGAUCUCUUGGCUCUC